This 242-nucleotide ribosomal RNA is filed under the name Salmonella enterica subsp. enterica serovar Thompson. Its description in RNAcentral is "partial 23S ribosomal RNA". It matches the Rfam family "Bacterial large subunit ribosomal RNA", at positions 1313 to 1556 of the family's 2925-position model. Lineage: Bacteria; Pseudomonadati; Pseudomonadota; Gammaproteobacteria; Enterobacterales; Enterobacteriaceae. The record is from RNAcentral.
UAAAGCGGGUGAAAAGCCCGCUCGCCGGAAGACCAAGGGUUCCUGUCCAACGUUAAUCGGGGCAGGGUGAGUCGACCCCUAAGGCGAGGCCGAAAGGCGUAGUCGAUGGGAAACAGGUUAAUAUUCCCGUACUUGGUGUUACUGCGAAGGGGGGACGGAGAAGGCUAUGUUGGCCGGGCGACGGUUGUCCCGGUUUAAGCGUGUAGGUGUGUGUUCCAGGUAAAUCCGGUUCACUUUAACAC